CACGUAGGGGGCGAGCGUUGUCCGGAUUUAUGGGCGUAAAGAGCUCGUAGGUGGCUUAGUAAGUCGGGUGUGAAACCUCCGAGCUCAACCUGGAGACGCCACCCGAUACUGCUAUAGCUUGAGUCCGGUAGGGGAGCGUGGAAUUCCUGGUGUAGCGGUGAAAUGCGCAGAUAUCAGGAGGAACACCAGCGGCGAAGGCGGCGCCUCUGGGCCGGUACUGACACUGAGACACGGAAAGCGUGGGUAGCAAACAGG
RNAcentral lists this ribosomal RNA (255 nucleotides) under uncultured bacterium. RNAcentral's name for it is "partial 16S ribosomal RNA". It matches the Rfam family "Bacterial small subunit ribosomal RNA", at positions 524 to 776 of the family's 1533-position model. The record is from RNAcentral.